Molecule: ribosomal RNA, 1132 nt
Filed under: Stenotrophomonas maltophilia
Lineage: Bacteria; Pseudomonadati; Pseudomonadota; Gammaproteobacteria; Lysobacterales; Lysobacteraceae
Description: partial 23S ribosomal RNA
Rfam family: Bacterial large subunit ribosomal RNA
Source: RNAcentral
GGUCAAGCGAAUAAGCGCACACGGUGGAUGCCUUGGCGGUCAGAGGCGAUGAAGGACGUGGCAGCCUGCGAAAAGUAUCGGGGAGCUGGCAACAAGCUUUGAUCCGGUAAUGUCCGAAUGGGGAAACCCACCCGCUUGCGGGUAUCCUGCAGUGAAUACAUAGCUGCUGGAAGCGAACCUGGUGAACUGAAAUAUCUAAGUAACCAGAGGAAAAGAAAUCAACCGAGAUUCCGUAAGUAGCGACGAGCGAACGCGGACUAGCCCUUAAGCUGAUUUGGUUCUAGGAAAACGCUCUGGAAAGAGCGGCCAUAGAAGGUGAUAGCCCUGUAUCUGAAAGGGCCAUUUCAGUGAAGACGAGUAGGGCGGGGCACGUGAAACCCUGUCUGAACAUGGGGGGACCAUCCUCCAAGGCUAAAUACUACUGACCGACCGAUAGUGAACCAGUACCGUGAGGGAAAGGCGAAAAGAACCCCGGAGAGGGGAGUGAAAUAGAACCUGAAACCGUGUGCGUACAAGCAGUAGGAGCUCCGCAAGGAGUGACUGCGUACCUUUUGUAUAAUGGGUCAGCGACUUACUGUUCGUGGCAAGCUUAACCGUAUAGGGGAGGCGAAGGGAAACCGAGUCUGAUAAGGGCGCAUAGUCGCGGGCAGUAGACCCGAAACCGGGUGAUCUAGUCAUGCCCAGGGUGAAGGUGCGGUAACACGCACUGGAGGCCCGAACCCACUCCCGUUGCAAAGGUAGGGGAUGAGGUGUGAUUAGGAGUGAAAAGCUAAUCGAACCCGGAGAUAGCUGGUUCUCCUCGAAAGCUAUUUAGGUAGCGCCUCAUAUGUAUCCUCUCGGGGGUAGAGCACUGUUAUGGCUAGGGGGUCAUCGCGACUUACCAAACCAUUGCAAACUCCGAAUACCGAGACGGACUGUAUGGGAGACACACGGCGGGUGCUAACGUCCGUCGUGAAAAGGGAAACAACCCAGACCCACAGCUAAGGUCCCAAAUUCACUGCUAAGUGGAAAACCAUGUGGAAAGGCACAGACAGCCAGGAGGUUGGCUUAGAAGCAGCCACCCUUUAAAGAAAGCGUAAUAGCUCACUGGUCGAGUCGGUCUGCGGGGAAGAUUUAACGGGGCUAAGCAGUG